This 405-nucleotide ribosomal RNA is filed under the name Triticum aestivum (bread wheat). RNAcentral's name for it is "partial small subunit ribosomal RNA". The record is from RNAcentral. Lineage: Eukaryota; Viridiplantae; Streptophyta; Magnoliopsida; Poales; Poaceae.
AUGAAAAUUGGUCCUGGUGGCUAUGGGGAUGUUUACAUGGGAGAGCUUAAUGGGGACGAAAUUGCUGUCAAGAAGCUUUUUCCCGUCCAAGGAGUUAAUGACGAGUCAUUUGAUAAUGAAUUCCGUAACCUUAAGAAGGUUCGGCAUAAAAAUGUCAUACGGAUGAUUGGUUACUGCUAUGAGAUAUUACACAGAGAUGUUGAAUAUGAAGGUGAGUUAGUUUGGUCUCAAGUAAUAAACAGAGCUCUCUGCUUUGAUGAUAUGAAGGGAGGAAGCCUUGCCAAGCAUAUUUCUGCUGAUUCGUGCAUCCAUAAUUGGCCGGCGACAUACAAUAUAAUUAAGGGGACUUGUGAGGGCCUGCACCACCUUCAUAAAGGAGAAGAAAAGAAGAGAUUUUUCAUCUAG